UAGAGUUUGAUCAUGGCUCAGGAUGAACGCUGGCGGCGUGCCUAACACAUGCAAGUCGAGCGAUUUACUUCGGUAAAGAGCGGCGGACGGGUGAGUAACGCGUGGGUAACCUGCCCUAUACACACGGAUAACAUACCGAAAGGUAUGCUAAUACGAGAUAAUAUAAGAGAUUCGCAUGGAUUUCUUAUCAAAGCUGAGGCGGUAUAGGAUGGACCCGCGUCUGAUUAGCUAGUUGGUAAGGUAACGGCUUACCAAGGCGACGAUCAGUAGCCGACCUGAGAGGGUGAUCGGCCACAUUGGAACUGAGACACGGUCCAAACUCCUACGGGAGGCAGCAGUGGGGAAUAUUGCACAAUGGGCGAAAGCCUGAUGCAGCAACGCCGCGUGAGUGAUGAAGGCCUUCGGGUCGUAAAACUCUGUCCUCAAGGAAGAUAAUGACGGUACUUGAGGAGGAAGCCCCGGCUAACUACGUGCCAGCAGCCGCGGUAAUACGUAGGGGGCUAGCGUUAUCCGGAUUUACUGGGCGUAAAGGGUGCGUAGGUGGUCUCUUAAGUCAGGAGUGAAAGGCUACGGCUUAACCGUAGUAAGCUCUUGAAACUGGGAGACUUGAGUGCAGGAGAGGAAAGUGGAAUUCCUAGUGUAGCGGUGAAAUGCGUAGAUAUUAGGAGGAACACCAGUAGCGAAGGCGGCUUUCUGGACUGUAACUGACACUGAGGCACGAAAGCGUGGGGAGCAAACAGGAUUAGAUACCCUGGUAGUCCACGCCGUAAACGAUGAGUACUAGGUGUCGGGGGUUACCCCCCUCGGUGCCGCAGCUAACGCAUUAAGUACUCCGCCUGGGGAG
Molecule: ribosomal RNA, 844 nt
Filed under: uncultured bacterium
Lineage: Bacteria
Description: bacterial SSU rRNA
Rfam family: Bacterial small subunit ribosomal RNA
Source: RNAcentral